UGAGAGUAAAUGUGUUGUUUGCUGUGUUUUUAUGGAAGAUUAUGAGCCCUAGUUGUCUAAUAAAAUGCAAGUUAUGUGUAUUAUCUGUUAAAUAUAAAGUGCUACCGAGUAUUGGUUUCGGUAUUUUACGGAAGAUGGCAAGGAUAUGUGUUCGAGGAAAAUCCCGUUUGAACCUUAGGAAUAGAUUAGGAUACAAGUGACAUGUCACUAGGAUGGUUGAGCAUCCGAAUGAGUUGAGUCCGAGUUCACUUAUGGAUGCGAAUGUUCGAACUCGUUGAGUUGAGUCUGAGUUCGUGAGAUGUAACUAGGCAUCUGAGCUCGUUGAGUUGAGUCCGAGUUCACUUAUGGAUGCGAACGCCCGAGCUCGUUGAGUUGAGUCCGAGUUCACUUAUGAGCGGGUUACAUGGUAGCUUGGCUACAUAUGUGGCACUUAUGUGCAAACUUUCCAUGUAUCCGAAUUAUAUUCCGAUAUGUUUAACGGGUAAAAUUCUACUCAAAUGGAGGAAUACUCGAGAUGAAAGGGACGUAUUGGUAAAUGUUGUGAAAUGGAUACUUUGAACAGAGUUUCCAGGUUAGCUCGGGUUGGAGGCCGUCAGAGAUAUUAUCACCCUAUCGAGUUAACGUUAUCGGAGUAAGUAAACUCAAGUGAUUCGAGUCUAUGGCAUGUAUAGGGUUUUAAUGUGAGUAUGUAAUAUUAUGAUUUAGCCAAAGGCAUUGGCUUGUUAUUAAGGUAGUAUUAGUUAUGUAAAUUGGCCUAUGCCGGCUAAUAUCAUUAUGGGCCCAUAUGAUUAUUCUUAUGCAUUUAUGUUAUUAUUUCUUGUGAUGUGGCUUACAACAUGCAUGCCUAGAGAUUGAAUUGAGAUUCAUUGAUGAGCUAGUAACUAAUGCAGGAUUAAGUGAUUGGUAAAUA
This is a long non-coding RNA of Gossypium arboreum, 910 nucleotides long. RefSeq lists it as uncharacterized. The transcript is spliced from 2 exons. Lineage: Eukaryota; Viridiplantae; Streptophyta; Magnoliopsida; Malvales; Malvaceae. The record is from RefSeq and is a predicted model, not a curated record.